GAAGAAGACCUUCCCCAAGCAUGAACCGACAAACUCUCCAACACCAAAAACUCAAAGGUGAAGCAUGCGAACUCCGAUUUCGAUGAACUUAAGUUUGACAAGAGGACGAACACAAACUCUAAAAACUGACAAAGAGAAGAGCCAAAUAAGAACCAAGAAAGAUGAUGCAAGGACACAAUGGUUUGAGCUCUCUACGAACAAUAUGAUCAAGGUACUUACUUGAGAGCCCCACUUAAUAGUACGUUAAUCGAUCCUAUAACCUGGUCUCCCAACUACCACCAUGAGACCGUUAAAUAGAAAAUCUAUCAAGGAAAAAAAUCUUUGCCUUGUGCAUAAUACACUUGCUCUCUAUGGUGAUGAUCUUGAACUCCUCAAGUUGGACCGCCUUUCUUGAUUGCGCUGGCUCAAUGAAGACUACUAGAUCCCCCUCCCCCCAAGUACUCCAUUAUGGGCGAGCCACUCUUCGACACAUCUUCACAAAUCCAUUGUCACCAUAAUGGAUGAUAAGCUUCAAGCAUGAUCUCUUAGUGAUGCUCCACUUGAACUUGCACACCACAAUCUUGAUGAUGAUCACCACUUGAUGUCAUCCUCCAUGGAUUAUAUGAGAUCUUCCUCUUGACACAAGCCCAUGGAAACAUACCUAACCCCACACAGAACUCUCACGUAGAUCAUGGGUUAGUACACAAAGCAUAAUGGACAGUCGAUCCUAUAACCCGGCCAACCUAUCAC
Molecule: long non-coding RNA, 729 nt
Filed under: Hordeum vulgare
Lineage: Eukaryota; Viridiplantae; Streptophyta; Magnoliopsida; Poales; Poaceae
Description: long non-coding RNA (HVUL_LNC011835)
Source: RNAcentral